Molecule: non-coding RNA, 91 nt
Organism: Dothideomycetidae sp. 11243
Lineage: Eukaryota; Fungi; Ascomycota; Dothideomycetes
Source: the annotation of a GenBank genome assembly
GCCCCUAUGGCGCAGUGGCUACCGCGUCGCACUUGUAGGGAUUUUGUGCCUUGACAUGCGAAGAUCGCUCGUUCGACUCGGGCUGGGGGCA